UGGCUCAGGAUGAACGCUGGCGGCGUGCCUAAUACAUGCAAGUCGAGCGAACGGACGAGAAGCUUGCUUCUCUGAUGUUAGCGGCGGACGGGUGAGUAACACGUGGAUAACCUACCUAUAAGACUGGGAUAACUUCGGGAAACCGGAGCUAAUACCGGAUAAUAUUUUGAACCGCAUGGUUCAAAAGUGAAAGACGGUCUUGCUGUCACUUAUAGAUGGAUCCGCGCUGCAUUAGCUAGUUGGUAAGGUAACGGCUUACCAAGGCAACGAUGCAUAGCCGACCUGAGAGGGUGAUCGGCCACACUGGAACUGAGACACGGUCCAGACUCCUACGGGAGGCAGCAGUAGGGAAUCUUCCGCAAUGGGCGAAAGCCUGACGGAGCAACGCCGCGUGAGUGAUGAAGGUCUUCGGAUCGUAAAACUCUGUUAUUAGGGAAGAACAUAUGUGUAAGUAACUGUGCACAUCUUGACGGUACCUAAUCAGAAAGCCACGGCUAACUACGUGCCAGCAGCCGCGGUAAUACGUAGGUGGCAAGCGUUAUCCGGAAUUAUUGGGCGUAAAGCGCGCGUAGGCGGUUUUUUAAGUCUGAUGUGAAAGCCCACGGCUCAACCGUGGAGGGUCAUUGGAAACUGGAAAACUUGAGUGCAGAAGAGGAAAGUGGAAUUCCAUGUGUAGCGGUGAAAUGCGCAGAGAUAUGGAGGAACACCAGUGGCGAAGGCGACUUUCUGGUCUGUAACUGACGCUGAUGUGCGAAAGCGUGGGGAUCAAACAGGAUUAGAUACCCUGGUAGUCCACGCCGUAAACGAUGAGUGCUAAGUGUUAGGGGGUUUCCGCCCCUUAGUGCUGCAGCUAACGCAUUAAGCACUCCGCCUGGGGAGUACGACCGCAAGGUUGAAACUCAAAGGAAUUGACGGGGACCCGCACAAGCGGUGGAGCAUGUGGUUUAAUUCGAAGCAACGCGAAGAACCUUACCAAAUCUUGACAUCCUUUGACAACUCUAGAGAUAGAGCUUUCCCCUUCGGGGGACAAAGUGACAGGUGGUGCAUGGUUGUCGUCAGCUCGUGUCGUGAGAUGUUGGGUUAAGUCCCGCAACGAGCGCAACCCUUAAGCUUAGUUGCCAUCAUUAAGUUGGGCACUCUAAGUUGACUGCCGGUGACAAACCGGAGGAAGGUGGGGAUGACGUCAAAUCAUCAUGCCCCUUAUGAUUUGGGCUACACACGUGCUACAAUGGACAAUACAAAGGGCAGCGAAACCGCGAGGUCAAGCAAAUCCCAUAAAGUUGUUCUCAGUUCGGAUUGUAGUCUGAAACUCGACUACAUGAAGCUGGAAUCGCUAGUAAUCGUAGAUCAGCAUGCUACGGUGAAUACGUUCCCGGGUCUUGUACACACCGCCCGUCACACCACGAGAGUUUGUAACACCCGAAGCCGGUGGAGUAACCUUUUAGGAGCUAGCCGUCGAAGGUGGGACAAAUGAUUGGGGUGAAGUCGUAACAAGGUAGCCGUAUCGGAAGGUGCGGCUGGAUCACCUCCUUU
This 1533-nucleotide ribosomal RNA is filed under the name Staphylococcus aureus. Its description in RNAcentral is "partial 16S ribosomal RNA". It matches the Rfam family "Bacterial small subunit ribosomal RNA". The record is from RNAcentral. Lineage: Bacteria; Bacillati; Bacillota; Bacilli; Caryophanales; Staphylococcaceae.